This 982-nucleotide ribosomal RNA is filed under the name Nitrospirota bacterium. RNAcentral describes it as "Nitrospirae bacterium partial 23S ribosomal RNA". It matches the Rfam family "Bacterial large subunit ribosomal RNA", at positions 1906 to 2911 of the family's 2925-position model. Lineage: Bacteria; Pseudomonadati; Nitrospirota. The record is from RNAcentral.
CACUGAAUGAAGCACCAGUGAACGUCGGCGAUAACUAUAAUCGUCCAAAGGUAGCGUAAUCCCUUGCCGGGUAAGUUCCGGCCCGCAUGAAUGGCUUAACGAGUUGAAAACUGUCUCAACGAGGCGCCCGGUGAAAAUGCAAUACCAGUGAAGAUGCUGGUUACCUGCGGCUAGACGGAAAGACCCCGGAAGCUUUACUGUAGUUAGAUAUUGGGUUAUCGUUUUUAAUGCGUAGCGUAGUGGUGAGCCUUUGAAGCGGCAUUUUCGGAUGCCGUGGAGGCGCCGAUGAAACAGCCAUCUUUGAAAAUGAUAAUUCUAAUUCCACUUAAGGUGGAUGACAGUGUUUAAUGGGCAGUUUAAAUGGGGCAUUUGCCUCCUAAAAAGUAAUGGAGGCGUUUAAAGGUUGGCUAGCUCCGGAUGGAAAUCGGAGCGAUAGGGCAAACCCAUAAGCCAGCUUUACUGCAAGACGGCUAUGUCGCGCAGUUGCGAAAGCAGAAGUUAGUGAACCGACGUGUAUUUCAUAGAAAACACGAAGAUCAUCAGCCAAAAGCUACUCCGGGGAUAACAGGCUAGUAGAGCCCGAGCGUCCAUAGCGACGGCUCUGUUCGGCACCUCGAUGUCGGCUCAAGACAUCCUGGGGGUGGAGAAGCUCCCAAGGGUUCGGCUGUUCGCCGAUUAAAGUCUUACGUGAGCUGGGUUCAAACCGUCGUGAGACAGGUUGGUCCCUAUCUACCGCAGGCGUGGAGUUUUGAGGAGAUUUGUUCCUAGUACGAGAGGACCGGAAUGAACCAACCUCUGGUGUACCAGUUGUUCCGCCAGGAGCAUUGCUGGGUAGCUAAGUUGGGAACGGAUAAGCGCUGAAAGCAUAUAAGCGCGAAACCGACUCCAAGAUGAGAACUCUUAGAUUCCCCGAAGAUUACGGGGUUGAUAGGCCAUAGGUAUAAGUACUGUAAAGUAUUCAGCCGAGUGGUACUAAUAAAUC